AUGGGAGGGGCGGAGGCGGCCGUCGUGGAGGCCGCGUCGACCGCUGCGGCAGCGGAGGCCGCUGAGGGCGGAGAGGACGGGCGGAUGGAGGGGUGGCUCUACCUGAUCCGAUCCAACCGGCUAGGGCUGCAGACCUCGCGCAAGAGGUACUUCGUGCUCGAGGACUCCGCGCUCCGCUGCUUCAAGGCCGCCCCGGCGCCUUCCUCCUCCAGCUCCAAGCGCGAGGAUCCUGUUAGAAGUGCAGUAAUUGACUCUUGUAUACGUGUUACGGACAACGGGAGAGAAAGUGUUCAUAGAAGUGUUUUUUACAUAUUCACACUCUACAAUGCCUCUAACCACUAUGAUCAGCUGAAGUUGGGUGCUAGAAGCUCAGAAGAAGCAGCAAGAUGGAUCAGGUGCUUAAUGGAGUCUGCCUUAAAGUCCCCCAGAAAAGAUGAGCAUGUUGUUGCUUGUUCACAUAGAAGGUGGCAGGCUUUCAGACUAAGCCGCCGCAGUAACCGCAUGCACUCAAUAGAUUGGACAAUAUUGUCAUCUUCUCAUAAUGAUCCAAUGGCAUCUGAUGUUAUUGCACCUUCUGCAUGGACAAUAUUUGGCUGUACAAACGGAUUACGUUUGUUUACUGAGGCAAAGGAUGGUGGCUCACGUGGGAAGUAUUGGGAUGAUCAUCCAGCUAUAAUGGCAGUUGGUGUCGUUGAUGCAAAUUCUGAGGAUAUCUUCCAGACUUUAAUGUCUCUUGGUCAAUCAAGAUCCGAGUGGGACUUCUGUCUGCGGGAAGGAAGGGUGGUUGAGCAUCUAGAUGGACAUUCAGACAUAAUCCACAAGAAAUUAAGAGGGGACUGGCUACCAUGGGGAAUGAGAAAGAGAGAUCUAUUACUUAGACGAUAUUGGAGGAGAGAAGACGAUGGAACUUAUGUUAUCCUGUACCACUCUGUUUUCCACAACAGAUGCAGUCCUGAGAAAGGCUACAUCCGUGCAUGUCUUAAAAGUGGAGGAUAUGUAAUAUCACCAGUUAGCCAAGGAAGACAAUCAGUUGUGAAGCAUAUGCUUGCUAUAGACUGGAAAUUCUGGAAGUCAUAUCUCCUUACCUCAUCCGCAAAAUACAUCACCAUACGUAUGCUAGGAAGAGUAGCAGCCCUACGAGAAUUAUUCCGAGCAAAAAAUGGAAACUGCGCUUGUAUGGAAUUCUCAUCGGGUGAGCUGAUGAGGGAUAUGGGACUGCCGCAGGGUGGAAACGAGCGGACAAAAAUAGAAAUGCAGUCAGCAAAUGAGUGUGAAAGACUUGAGGGUCCUGUAGAAGGACCACAGGGUGGUUCUAACCGGCACUUAAGCAGUACUGGUUCCCUUGUUCAACUUAAUGAUGCAACGGAUGAGUUCUUUGAUGUCCCAGAUGAAUCAGAAUAUGAUCAGAGAGAAGCCAUGUGGUCUUCUGAUGAGAGCACACAUGCUGCGGACCAACGACAUGCUAAAUUAUCCAGUGCUGCUGUCUUUGUACGGAAGUUGCAUGAUCUUGCAGUUCAAAAGAGAGGGUACGUUGAUUUACAGGGAGCUGCAGAUGCUGAUAAUGGACCAUGUUACUAUGGACAUACUCUCCCAAAAGAUUCUAGCUGUACAAUGCCUUCUAGUUGGUCAAUGACAGACCCGACAACAUUCUUAAUACGGGGAGAAUCCUAUUUGCUUGAUCGUCAAAAGAUCAAAGCAGAGAAUACACUGAUGCAAAUGGUUGGUGCUGACUGGAUAAAAUCUGAUAAGCGUGAGGAUGAUCUUGCUGGUCGUCCUGGCGGACUAGUCCAGAAAUAUGCAGCACAAGGAGGCAGCAAAUUUUUCUUCAUUGUAAAUAUACAGGUUCCUGGUUCUACCACGUACAGCUUAGCUUUGUAUUAUAUGAUGGAUACCCCAUUGGAAAAGGUUCCUCUACUUGAAAGAUUUGUAAAUGGAGAUGAUACAUUCAGAAACUCAAGGUUCAAACUCAUCCCUUAUAUCUCAAAGGGAUCUUGGAUUGUGAAGCAGAGUGUGGGCAAGAAAGCUUGUUUGGUUGGUCAAGCACUAGAAAUCAAUUAUUUCCGUGGAAGCAACUAUUUGGAGCUUGGAGUUGAUAUAGGCUCGUCAACAGUGGCACGAGGUGUGGUGAGCCUUGUGCUCGGGUACUUGAACAACCUGGUGAUUGAGAUGGCCUUCUUGGUACAGGGCAACACGCAAGAAGAGCUCCCGGAGUUCCUCCUAGGCACCUGCCGACUGAAUUAUCUCGACGCCUCCAAAGCUGUAUCGCUAGACGAAUGCUGA
Molecule: ribosomal RNA, 2280 nt
Filed under: Triticum aestivum (bread wheat)
Lineage: Eukaryota; Viridiplantae; Streptophyta; Magnoliopsida; Poales; Poaceae
Description: partial small subunit ribosomal RNA
Source: RNAcentral